RNAcentral lists this ribosomal RNA (374 nucleotides) under uncultured Desulfobulbus sp. Its description in RNAcentral is "bacterial SSU rRNA". It matches the Rfam family "Bacterial small subunit ribosomal RNA", at positions 1014 to 1382 of the family's 1533-position model. The record is from RNAcentral. Lineage: Bacteria; Pseudomonadati; Thermodesulfobacteriota; Desulfobulbia; Desulfobulbales; Desulfobulbaceae.
UUCCAUCUGGAAGAAUCUGGAGACAGGUGCUGCAUGGCUGUCGUCAGCUCGUGUCGUGAGAUGUUGGGUUAAGUCCCGCAACGAGCGCAACCCUUGCCUUUAGUUGCCAGCAGUUUCGGCUGGGCACUCUAAAGGGACUGCCGGUGUUAAACCGGAGGAAGGUGGGGAUGACGUCAAGUCCUCAUGGCCUUUAUGACCAGGGCUACACACGUACUACAAUGGCCGAUACAAAGGGCAGCGACACUGCGAGGUGAAGCCAAUACCCGUAAAAUCGGUCUCAGUCCGGAUUGGAGUCUGCAACUCGACUCCAUGAAGUUGGAAUCGCUAGUAAUCGUGGAUCAGCAUGCCACGGUGAAUACCGGUUCCCGGGCCUU